This is a long non-coding RNA of Oncorhynchus keta (chum salmon), 355 nucleotides long. RefSeq lists it as uncharacterized. The transcript is spliced from 4 exons. The record is from RefSeq and is a predicted model, not a curated record. NCBI's taxonomy places the organism in Eukaryota, Metazoa, Chordata, Actinopteri, Salmoniformes, Salmonidae.
ACAGGUAAAGUUCCAGUCACUACCUGGUAAGUCUCUACAGGUAAAGUUCCAGUCAGUACCUGGUAGGUCUCUACAGGUAAAGUUCCAUUCAGUACCUGGUAGGUCUCUACAGGUAAAGUUCCAUUCAGUACCUGGUAGGUCUCUACAGGUAAAGUUCUAGUCAGUACCUGGUAAGUCUCUACAGGUAAAGUUCCAGUCAGUACCUGGUAGGUCUCUACAGGUAAAGUUCCAGUCAGUACCUGGUAGGUCUCUACAGGUAAAGUUCCAGUCAGUACCUGGUAGGUCUCUACAGGUAAAGUUCCAGUCAGUACCUGGUAGGUCUCUACAGGUAAAGUUCUAGUCAGUACCUGGUAGG